Molecule: ribosomal RNA, 278 nt
Filed under: uncultured eukaryote
Lineage: Eukaryota
Description: partial 18S ribosomal RNA
Rfam family: Eukaryotic small subunit ribosomal RNA
Source: RNAcentral
UAGUCAUAUGCUUGUCUCAAAGAUUAAGCCAUGCAUGUCUAAGUAUAAAUGAAUUUAUAUAGUGAAACUGCGAAUGGCUCAUUAAAUCAGUUAUAGUUUAUUUGAUAGUACCUUACUACUUGGAUAACCGUAGUAAUUCUAGAGCUAAUACAUGCAUCAAACCCGACUUUUCGGAAGGGUUGUAUUUAUUAGAUACAAAACCAAUACACCUUCGGGUGCUAUUUCGGUGAUUCAUAAUAACUUCGCGAAUCGUAUGCCUUCGGGCGACGAUGAUUCAU